This 484-nucleotide ribosomal RNA is filed under the name uncultured bacterium. RNAcentral describes it as "partial 16S ribosomal RNA". It matches the Rfam family "Bacterial small subunit ribosomal RNA", at positions 30 to 507 of the family's 1533-position model. The record is from RNAcentral.
AUUGAACGCUGGCGGCAGGCCUAACACAUGCAAGUCGAGCGGAUGAAGGGAGCUUGCUCCUGGAUUCAGCGGCGGACGGGUGAGUAAUGCCUAGGAAUCUGCCUGGUAGUGGGGGAUAACGUCCGGAAACGGGCGCUAAUACCGCAUACGUCCUGAGGGAGAAAGUGGGGGAUCUUCGGACCUCACGCUAUCGGAUGAGCCUAGGUCGGAUUAGCUAGUUGGUGGGGUAAAGGCCUACCAAGGCGACGUUCCGUAACUGGUCUGAGAGGAUGAUCAGUCACACUGGAACUGAGACACGGUCCAGACUCCUACGGGAGGCAGCAGUGGGGAAUAUUGGACAAUGGGCGAAAGCCUGAUCCAGCCAUGCCGCGUGUGUGAAGAAGGUCUUCGGAUUGUAAAGCACUUUAAGUUGGGAGGAAGGGCAGUAAGUUAAUACCUUGCUGUUUUGACGUUACCAACAGAAUAAGCACCGGCUAACUUCGUG